CGGGCGCUUACAAUGCAGUCGAGCGCACUCUUCGGAGUGAGCGGCGGACGGGUUAGUAACGCGUGGGAACGUGCCCUUCUCUAAGGAAUAGCCACUGGAAACGGUGAGUAAUACCUUAUACGCCCUUCGGGGGAAAGAUUUAUCGGAGAAGGAUCGGCCCGCGUUAGAUUAGAUAGUUGGUGGGGUAAUGGCCUACCAAGUCUACGAUCUAUAGCUGGUUUUAGAGGAUGAUCAGCAACACUGGGACUGAGACACGGCCCAGACUCCUACGGGAGGCAGCAGUGGGGAAUCUUGGACAAUGGGCGCAAGCCUGAUCCAGCCAUGCCGCGUGAGUGAUGAAGGCCUUAGGGUCGUAAAGCUCUUUCGCCAGAGAUGAUAAUGACAGUAUCUGGUAAAGAAACCCCGGCUAACUCCGUGCCAGCAGCCGCGGUAAUACGGAGGGGGUUAGCGUUGUUCGGAAUUACUGGGCGUAAAGCGCACGUAGGCGGAUCAGAAAGUAUAGGGUGAAAUCCCAGGGCUCAACCCUGGAACUGCCUUGUAAACUCCUGGUCUUGAGUUCGAGAGAGGUGAGUGGAAUUCCGAGUGUAGAGGUGAAAUUCGUAGAUAUUCGGAGGAACACCAGUGGCGAAGGCGGCUCACUGGCUCGAUACUGACGCUGAGGUGCGAAAGUGUGGGGAGCAAACAGGAUUAGAUACCCUGGUAGUC
Molecule: ribosomal RNA, 705 nt
Filed under: Phaeobacter sp.
Lineage: Bacteria; Pseudomonadati; Pseudomonadota; Alphaproteobacteria; Rhodobacterales; Roseobacteraceae
Description: bacterial SSU rRNA
Rfam family: Bacterial small subunit ribosomal RNA
Source: RNAcentral